CUUACCAUGCAAGUCGAGCGGUAAGGCCUUUCGGGGUACACGAGCGGCGAACGGGUGAGUAACACGUGGGUGACCUGCCCUCCACUUCGGGAUAAGCCUGGGAAACUGGGUCUAAUACCGGAUAGGACCUUCUGGUGCAUGCUGGUUGGUGGAAAGUUUUUUCGGUGGGGGAUGGGCCCGCGGUCUAUCAGCUUGUUGGUGGGGUGAUGGCCUACCAAGGCGACGACGGAUAGCCGGCCUGAGAGGGUGAUCGGCCACACUGGGACUGAGACACGGCCCAGACUCCUACGGGAGGCAGCAGUGGGGAAUCUUGCGCAAUGGGCGGAAGCCUGACGCAGCAACGCCGCGUGGGGGAUGACGGCCUUCGGGUUGUAAACCUCUUUCGCGAUCGACGAAGGCUUGUUUUCUACAGGUUGACGGUAGGUCGAGAAGAAGCACCGGCCAACUACGUGCCAGCAGCCGCGGUAAUACGUAGGGUGCGAGCGUUGUCCGGAAUUAUUGGGCGUAAAGAGCUCGUAGGCGGUGUGUCGCGUCGGCCGUGAAAACCUGGGGCUCAACUCUGGGCGUGCGGUCGAUACGGGCAUCACUUGAGUUCGGCAGGGGAGACUGGAAUUCCUGGUGUAGCGGUGAAAUGCGCAGAUAUCAGGAGGAACACCGGUGGCGAAGGCGGGUCUCUGGGCCGAUACUGACGCUGAGGAGCGAAAGCAUGGGUAGCGAACAGGAUUAGAUACCCUGGUAGUCCAUGCCGUAAACGUUGGGCGCUAGGUGUGGGGUCCAUUCCACGGGUUCCGUGCCGCAGCUAACGC
This 806-nucleotide ribosomal RNA is filed under the name Actinomycetospora sp. RNAcentral's name for it is "bacterial SSU rRNA". It matches the Rfam family "Bacterial small subunit ribosomal RNA", at positions 48 to 858 of the family's 1533-position model. Lineage: Bacteria; Bacillati; Actinomycetota; Actinomycetes; Pseudonocardiales; Pseudonocardiaceae. The record is from RNAcentral.